AACAAUACAAAAAUAUGAGAUUCUAUAAGUGGCUCCUAUAGGUUCAAAAGAUGACUUCCACCAAACACAUGGUGUAAUACUUUGCACCGCAUAACACUUAGCUCUCACACCUCCGGCCGGUAUUCAGCUCUAAUACCAACUGCAAUGAUCCGACCCAUUGACAAUAAUAAUUCAUUGAGCCCAAACCAGCAGUCCAAAAUACUAUAGUGGAGUUAAGAGGUUUAGUUCUAUUAUAUCUUACUAGUUAAGGAUCCCGCACGAUGCCGUGGGUAGAUGUCACGCCCCGGGGUCCCUUUUUGUUUGGAAAAACAGCGGAAACGACUGAAAAUUUUUUUUUUUUUUGAAACACCUGACCCCAGUGUAUGUCAGAUCCACCACAAAUACAGGGAAUCCACUGUUUACACGGACAGAGUUUUCCCUGUAUUUGCACGGCGUCGCACAAGUACAAUUAUACAAACAGAGUAUAACCAGAAUACAACCACAACCAUAUGAACACACAAUCACAACUACACAUGCAGACGUUCAUACAUUCACCAUUCACAACGCGACAGUAUUCCAAUUUUUAAACAAAAAUCCAGAACUAUCAUUUGAAAUGUUUCCCACACAGAAACUUUUAUCCUUUCAAAACGCUACGACGAGGGGUAGAAAAAUAUUUGAAAACUGUAUCGAAUAUGAAAACUCUUUUCUUUUAAAACGAGCGCUACCACGAGGGGUAGAAAACCAUUUUUUUUUCUUGAAAGCUCAUAGAUCUAUUUUUAUUUACGAAAACCCAGCAGAAAACUGAACAUUC
This 790-nucleotide long non-coding RNA is filed under the name Ananas comosus (pineapple). RNAcentral describes it as "long non-coding RNA (ACOM_LNC003878)". The record is from RNAcentral. Lineage: Eukaryota; Viridiplantae; Streptophyta; Magnoliopsida; Poales; Bromeliaceae.